UUAGAUACCCCACUAUGCCCAACCGUAAACUUUAAAUUACACCUAUAUCGCCCGGGAACUACGAGCAAAGCUUAAAACCCAAAGGACUUGACGGUACCCCAUAUCCACCUAGAGGAGCCUGUCCUACAAUCGAUAACCCCCGCUUAACCUCACCAUUUUUAGCCCAUCAGCCUGUAUACCUCCGUCGUCAGCUUACCACGUGAGCGACCCUUAGUGAGCUUGAUGCCCAUACGCCAACACGUCAGGUCAAGGUGCAGCAGAUAAAAUGGGAAGAGAUGGGCUACACUCUCUACUCUAGAAAACACGGAAGAUUAUUUAUGAAACCUAAUCAGAAGGCGGAUUUAGUAGUAAAAAGAGACAAUAGUGCUCUUUUUAACAUGGCACUGGGGUGUGUACACACCGCCCGUCACCCUCUUCAAAGCUGGUAUAAAGUCCCUAACACACCUGAGCAUUAUAGAAGAGGCAAGUCGUAACAUGGUAAGUAUACCGGAAGGUGUGCUUGGAAA
Molecule: ribosomal RNA, 506 nt
Filed under: Hyla helenae
Lineage: Eukaryota; Metazoa; Chordata; Amphibia; Anura; Hylidae
Description: partial 12S ribosomal RNA
Rfam family: Bacterial small subunit ribosomal RNA
Source: RNAcentral